RNAcentral lists this transfer RNA (87 nucleotides) under Cordylochernes scorpioides. Its description in RNAcentral is "tRNA-Tyr". It matches the Rfam family "tRNA". Rfam says of the family: Transfer RNA (tRNA) molecules are approximately 80 nucleotides in length. Their secondary structure includes four short double-helical elements and three loops (D, anti-codon, and T loops). Lineage: Eukaryota; Metazoa; Arthropoda; Arachnida; Pseudoscorpiones; Chernetidae. The record is from RNAcentral.
CCCUCGAUAGCUCAGUUGGUAGAGCGGAGGACUGUAGAUGUUACAACGGUGAUCCUUAGGUCGUUGGUUCAAAUCCGGCUCGAGGGA